This 102-nucleotide non-coding RNA is filed under the name uncultured Ferdinandcohnia sp. RNAcentral's name for it is "SAM riboswitch (S box leader)". It matches the Rfam family "SAM riboswitch aptamer (S box leader)". From Rfam's summary of the family: The SAM riboswitch is found upstream of a number of genes which code for proteins involved in methionine or cysteine biosynthesis in Gram-positive bacteria. Lineage: Bacteria; Bacillati; Bacillota; Bacilli; Caryophanales; Bacillaceae. The record is from RNAcentral.
CUUAUCCAGAGCGACCGAGGGACUUGGCCCUACGACGUCCGGCAACCCCCAUAAUGGGAAGGUGCCAAUUCCGGCAGAAUGAUUUCAUUCUGAAAGAUAAGG